AGAGUUUGGUCCUGGCUCAGGAUGAACGCUGGCGGCGUGGAUAAGGCAUGCAAGUCGAACGCUCGAGUUUACUCGAGAGUGGCGAACGGGUUAGUAACGCGUGGAUAACCAACCUUAAAGUCGGGCAUAGCCCGGAGAAAUCCGGGGUAAUUCCCGAUAGUCCCAAAUGUUUUUUAGCAUUUGGGUAAAGUUUUUCGCUUUAAGAUGGGUCCGCGUUCUAUCAGCUUGUUGGUGAGGUAAUGGCUCACCAAGGCGAUGACGGAUAGGGGGCGUGAGAGCGCGAUCCCCAACAAUAGCACUGCGACACGGGCUAUACACCUACGGGUGGCUGCAGUCGAGAAUCUUUCGCAAUGGGGGAAACCCUGACGAAGCGACGCCGCGUGCGGGAAGACGAUCUUACGAUUGUAAACCGCUUUUAUAGAAGAGGAACUUUUGUGACAGUACUCUAUGAAUAAGGGGGGGCUAACUCUGUGCCAGCAGCAGCGGUAAUACAGAGCCCUCAAGCGUUAUCCGGAUUUACUGGGCGUAAAGAGUCUUAAGGCUGUUUAGAAAGUCUCGAGUUAAAUCCUUGGAGCUCAACUUCAAGGCUGCUUGGGAUACUUCUUUACUUGAGGAUGUCAGAGGUUAGUGGAACAUACGGUGUAGGGGUGGAAUCCGUUGAUAUCGUGUGGAACACCAAAAGCGAAGGCAACUAACUGGGGCAGUCCUGACGCUGAUUGACGAAAGCUAGGGGAGUGAAGAGGAUUAGAUACCCUCGUAAUCCUAGCUGUAAACGUUGGACACUGGCUGGUGGAAGUAUCGACCCUUUCACUGGCGAAGCUAACGCGUUAAGUGUCCCGCCUGGGAAGUACGCGCGCAAGCGUGAAACUCAAAGGAAUAGACGGGGAUCUACACAAGCGGUGGAUCAUGUGGCUUAAUUCGAUGUUAAGCGAAGAACCUCACCAGGACUUGACAUGCUAACUAACCCGUAGAGAAAUUUACGGUCCCGCAAGGAAGUUAGCACAGGUGCUGCAUGGUUAUCGUCAGCAGGUGCCGUGAGGUGCAGCCUUAAUUGGUGAAACCUGCGUAACCCUUAUCCUAUGUUUUAUUUGUCAUGGGAGACUGCCAGGGACAACCUGGAGGAAGGCGGGGACGACGCUAAAUCAGCAUGGCCCUUACGUCCUGGGCAGCACACAUGAUACAAUGGCCGAUACAAUGGGUUGCCAAGCGGUAACGCGGAGCCAAUCCCACCAAGAUCGGUCUCAGUUCGGAUCGAGGUCUGCAACUCGACCUCGUGAAGUUGGAAUCGCUAGUAAUCGCGGAUCAGAUACGCCGCGAUGAAUAUGUCACUGGAUCUUGUACUCACCGCCCGUCACGCCAGAGAAGCUGGGAACACCCGAAGCGCCUCUUUAUGGGGUUCGAAGGUGGAUUCAGUAACUAGGGCGAAGUCGUAACAAGGCA
This 1440-nucleotide ribosomal RNA is filed under the name metagenome. RNAcentral describes it as "bacterial SSU rRNA". It matches the Rfam family "Bacterial small subunit ribosomal RNA". The record is from RNAcentral.